This 472-nucleotide ribosomal RNA is filed under the name uncultured bacterium. RNAcentral's name for it is "bacterial SSU rRNA". It matches the Rfam family "Bacterial small subunit ribosomal RNA", at positions 355 to 825 of the family's 1533-position model. The record is from RNAcentral.
UGGGGAAUUUUGGACAAUGGGCGCAAGCCUGAUCCAGCCAUGCCGCGUGCGGGAAGAAGGCCUUCGGGUUGUAAACCGCUUUUGUCAGGGAAGAAACGCUCUGGGCUAAUACCCUGGGGUAAUGACGGUACCUGAAGAAUAAGCACCGGCUAACUACGUGCCAGCAGCCGCGGUAAUACGUAGGGUGCAAGCGUUAAUCGGAAUUACUGGGCGUAAAGCGUGCGCAGGCGGUUAUGCAAGACAGAUGUGAAAUCCCCGGGCUCAACCUGGGAACUGCAUUUGUGACUGUAUAGCUAGAGUACGGUAGAGGGGGAUGGAAUUCCGCGUGUAGCAGUGAAAUGCGUAGAUAUGCGGAGGAACACCGAUGGCGAAGGCAAUCCCCUGGACCUGUACUGACGCUCAUGCACGAAAGCGUGGGGAGCAAACAGGAUUAGAUACCCGAGUAGUCCCUGAGCGGGCUGGCAAGGCGCAU